GCACGUGCCAUUCACGUGAUAUUUGGAGGGGUAAAUUUGUCUUUUUACUUUUAUUAUUGUCUACUUUAAUUUUUUCUUCUCUUUUCCAUUUUGGUCAUCUUCCCCAACUGGUCUUCUCUUCCCCAACUCACUCUGGUUCAAAUCCAUCUCCAAAGCCCUUUGUGCACCAAUUUCUAGGCAAAAUAAAAUUCAACAAUCAAAACUAAUCAUAAAUCAUCUCGACAUUUUCCCUAAACACACACCAAAUAUGUUAUUCUACAGCAAAUGGCUAAGAGUGUUCUUCAAAAAGAAUUUAAAAAACCCAUCUCAAAAGACAAUCCGUCUCCAAGGAGCUAUUAGGGCUAACGAGUGAAUUUUCGGACGGCAAAAAUGGGUCGAAAAAAUCAUCGAAUAAACCCACCACAACCUCUUCCAUCCCUACUCGUAUCUCCGCCUUCUACCACCACUUCCACGGCGGCGUAGGGAAGGAUUAACCAGGAACAUCCAAAGCAGCAAUAAGCUUUGCCGCCUCAUCCAAUUACAUCGAACACUGAGCAAGAACUCGACGACGCCGAUUUCAAUCGCCAAUUGGAGAGAAGCUCGUUGCCCGCCGACAAACUUUUCAACAACUACAAAAUCAAGCCAUUAAAGACACACCCAAUGUUUCACUACGAUCAAAACAAGCCCAAAAAAAUUACCGAAAUUCCCAAUUUUCAUCGGAGAAGCAUUCUCCCCGAAAUAAUUGGGCCAAAGAUUUCGACCUAUUUCUCACAGCCAUGGACCUGUAAAGGAAAACGUCAAGAAAACAGGUGGUGAUGGAAAGAGAGAAUAGCAGGAAUGGAGGCGGACGAAUCGGUGGCAGGGGAAGAAAGAUUUUCUGGCUGGGGAUGGGUUUGGGAGGAGUGCUGGGCCGACGGGAUGAAGAUAUGAUACUUUCUUUUUUGUUUUAUUUUUGUCUUUGUUUUAUUUUUGUUUUUUGUUUUUUGUUUUUUUUUUGUUUUUUAAUGAUUAAUUCAUAAUUAAUAUAUAGAAUAUAAGUGAAGGGACGAAUUUAUCCCUGCAAAUAUCACGUGCAACGCGCGUGUUUUAACAUUCCGAUCGAAAUUGCCGGAAACUUUAGUUUAGGGG
RNAcentral lists this long non-coding RNA (1107 nucleotides) under Erythranthe guttata (spotted monkey flower). RNAcentral's name for it is "long non-coding RNA (EGUT_LNC000461)". Lineage: Eukaryota; Viridiplantae; Streptophyta; Magnoliopsida; Lamiales; Phrymaceae. The record is from RNAcentral.